GAUGAACGCUGGCGGCGUGCCUAAUACAUGCAAGUCGAGCGAACAGACGAGGAGCUUGCUCCUCUGAUGUUAGCGGCGGACGGGUGAGUAACACGUGGAUAACCUACCUAUAAGACUGGGAUAACUUCGGGAAACCGGAGCUAAUACCGGAUAAUAUAUUGAACCGCAUGGUUCAAUAGUGAAAGACGGUCUUGCUGUCACUUAUAGAUGGAUCCGCGCUGCAUUAGCUAGUUGGUAAGGUAACGGCUUACCAAGGCAACGAUGCAUAGCCGACCUGAGAGGGUGAUCGGCCACACUGGAACUGAGACACGGUCCAGACUCCUACGGGAGGCAGCAGUAGGGAAUCUUCCGCAAUGGGCGAAAGCCUGACGGAGCAACGCCGCGUGAGUGAUGAAGGUCUUCGGAUCGUAAAACUCUGUUAUUAGGGAAGAACAUAUGUGUAAGUAACUGUGCACAUCUUGACGGUACCUAAUCAGAAAGCCACGGCUAACUACGUG
RNAcentral lists this ribosomal RNA (497 nucleotides) under uncultured bacterium. Its description in RNAcentral is "partial 16S ribosomal RNA". It matches the Rfam family "Bacterial small subunit ribosomal RNA", at positions 28 to 507 of the family's 1533-position model. The record is from RNAcentral.